Molecule: ribosomal RNA, 251 nt
Filed under: uncultured bacterium
Lineage: Bacteria
Description: partial 16S ribosomal RNA
Rfam family: Bacterial small subunit ribosomal RNA
Source: RNAcentral
GUGAAUUAGUGGCGGACGGGUGAGUAAUAUAUCGGAACGUGUCCAUUAAUGGGGGAUAACUAGUCGAAAGGCUGGCUAAUACCGCAUACGCCCUGAGGGGGAAAGCUAGGGAUUCUUCGGAACCUGGCGUUAAUGGAGCGGCCGAUACCUGAUUAGCUAGUUGGUGGGGUAAAGGCCUACCAAGGCAACGAUCAGUAGCCGGCCUGAGAGGGUGGCCGGUCACACUGGGACUGAGAUACGGCCCAGACUCC